AUGAUAUUAUAUAUAGAAACAAGAGGUAGAUACGUUACCAACGCACCAAAACAUAAACCGUGAAUUGGUCCUAAUUGGGACCAGUGGAAUCAGUCAGAUUGUGACUUGUGACAGCGAACGCACAUGCUGAUAUAAACGUUAAAAUUAUCAAUAAUGCCUUCUUGUGUGUUCAGAAAGUGCACAAAUUACGAUAGUAAAAUAAAGAAAGAUAGAGGAAUAUCAUAUCACAGGCACCACUAUUAUUAUAUCCUACAAGUUGGAGUGAUGACCUUGUACGGGUUCCGGGAACUGCCUUGAAACGAAUAGCGUAAGAUCGGUCCGAAUGGAGUUCUAUAAGGAGGACUAUGCUCAGCAGUGGGUGCUUAUCGGGUGAAAUGAUGAUGACCGAAAACGAACACCACAGCUAGUAAUAAAUGCUUAAUACAGUUAUAUCUCCAAAAAAGUUUUUUCAUUUUAAUACAACUUCAUAAUAAUAAUUAAAUAGUAAAUGAAAUUGUCACAUUUGUUUACGUGUGCAGGAAACGUAAUAUCUAUAACAUUGAACCUUCUGUGUCGUUAGUCUAUGCCAAUUGCCAUGGCAACUAUUUGUUUAUUUAUAUUUAAUUGGUGAAUUCUUAUGACUUUUGCUUACACCUGCGCGGAAGUGACAAACUAUCUUUGUCUUUUUUGUUUAUAUCAUUUUAUUAGAGCCAUCUCUCUUAUACAGUCUGUCAAUGUAAUAAAUUAAGUAAAAUGAAACUUGUAUUUGUGUGUGCCUGACACUGCAUAUGAAGCAUUUUUUUUGGAUAUAUUGUGAGUAUAUAACGUAUCUAUACAUAAAAUAUCAUUGAUAAUACUUUAUUG
Colias croceus (clouded yellow) is the source of this 843-nucleotide long non-coding RNA. RefSeq lists it as uncharacterized. The transcript has 4 exons. NCBI's taxonomy places the organism in Eukaryota, Metazoa, Arthropoda, Insecta, Lepidoptera, Pieridae. The record is from RefSeq and is a predicted model, not a curated record.